AGCAGUCGCCGCGGUAAUGCGAAGGGGGCUAGCGUUGUUCGGAAUUACUGGGCGUAAAGCGCACGUAGGCGGAUAUUUAAGUCAGGGGUGAAAUCCCAGAGCUCAACUCUGGAACUGCCUUUGAUACUGGGUAUCUUGAGUAUGGAAGAGGUGAGUGGAAUUCCGAGUGUAGAGGUGAAAUUCGUAGAUAUUCGGAGGAACACCAGUGGCGAAGGCGGCUCACUGGUCCAUUACUGACGCUGAGGUGCGAAAGCGUGGGGAGCAAACAGGAUUAGAUACCCCUGUAGUCCCUGUCUCUUAUAC
This 303-nucleotide ribosomal RNA is filed under the name uncultured bacterium. RNAcentral's name for it is "partial 16S ribosomal RNA". It matches the Rfam family "Bacterial small subunit ribosomal RNA", at positions 507 to 807 of the family's 1533-position model. The record is from RNAcentral.